CUGCUUGUAUCUCUUUUUAAAUGGAACAUAUUCUCCAUCAAAUUCUUUUAGGAAAUUGCUAGUUAUUAUUUCAAGAAAGAAUGAAGUCUAUGUAUUUCAACUAUAGAUUUGUAGAAGUGGUUCAUAUGCUUCAAAGUUCGAGUAAAUUACAUGAUGAUUAUUUUGAUAGUCUAGUGGAGUCAUUUUGUAGUUGUAUUUAACUUUUGGUUUAGAAAGUAUCAGAAGAAAAUGUAACUCUUGUCUUAUGCCUAGUAAUGAAGUUUUACUUUUGAUUUCUCA
This is a long non-coding RNA of Erigeron canadensis, 279 nucleotides long. RefSeq lists it as uncharacterized. The transcript has 2 exons. The record is from RefSeq and is a predicted model, not a curated record. Lineage: Eukaryota; Viridiplantae; Streptophyta; Magnoliopsida; Asterales; Asteraceae.